Molecule: ribosomal RNA, 233 nt
Filed under: uncultured bacterium
Lineage: Bacteria
Description: partial 16S ribosomal RNA
Source: RNAcentral
UAAUCCGACCUAGGCUCAUCUGAUAGCGCAAGGCCCGAAGGUCCCCUGCUUUCUCCCGUAGGACGUAUGCGGUAUUAGCGUUCGUUUCCGAACGUUAUCCCCCACUACCAGGCAGAUUCCUAGGCAUUACUCACCCGUCCGUCGCUCUCAAGAGAAGCAAGCUUCUCUCUACCGCUCGACUUGCAUGUGUUAGACCUGCCGCCAGCGUUCAAUCUGAGCCAGGAUCAAACUCU